AUUGAACGCUGGCGGCAUGCCUUACACAUGCAAGUCGAACGGCAGCACGGGUGCUUGCACCUGGUGGCGAGUGGCGAACGGGUGAGUAAUACAUCGGAACGUACCUUAUCGUGGGGGAUAACGCAGCGAAAGCUGUGCUAAUACCGCAUACGCCCUGAGGGGGAAAGCGGGGGAUCGCAAGACCUCGCGCGAUUAGAGCGGCCGAUGCCUGAUUAGCUAGUUGGUGGGGUAAAAGCCCACCAAGGCGACGAUCAGUAGCUGGUCUGCGAGGACGAUCAGCCACACUGGGACUGAGACACGGCCCAGACUCCUACGGGAGGCAGCAGUGGGGAAUUUUGGACAAUGGGGCAACCAUGAUCCAGCAAUGCCGCGUGAGUGAAGAAGGCCUUCGGGUUGUAAAGCUCUUUUGUCAGGGAAGAAACACCGGCUCUAACACAGUCCGGGAAUGACGGUACCUGAAGAAUAAGCACCGGCUAACUACGUGCCAGCAGCCGCGGUAA
RNAcentral lists this ribosomal RNA (500 nucleotides) under uncultured bacterium. RNAcentral's name for it is "partial 16S ribosomal RNA". It matches the Rfam family "Bacterial small subunit ribosomal RNA", at positions 29 to 523 of the family's 1533-position model. The record is from RNAcentral.